RNAcentral lists this transfer RNA (75 nucleotides) under Promethearchaeota archaeon. Its description in RNAcentral is "Candidatus Lokiarchaeota archaeon (microbial mat metagenome) tRNA-Ala". It matches the Rfam family "tRNA". Rfam says of the family: Transfer RNA (tRNA) molecules are approximately 80 nucleotides in length. Their secondary structure includes four short double-helical elements and three loops (D, anti-codon, and T loops). The record is from RNAcentral. Lineage: Archaea; Promethearchaeati; Promethearchaeota.
GGGCCUGUAGAUCAGCGGAAGAUCGCUUGAUUCGCAUUCAAGAGGCCACGGGUUCAAUUCCCGUCAGGUCCACCA